CCCUUAGAUGCUCUGGGCCGCACGCGCGCUACACUGGUCGAUGCAACGAGUUUCUUUCCUUGGCCGACAGGCCUGGGCAAUCUUUGAACAUCGAUCGUGAUCGGGAUAGAUUCUUGUAAUUUUUGAUCUUAAACGAGGAAUUCCUAGUAAACGCAAGUCAUCAGCUUGCAUUGAUUACGUCCCUGCCCUUUGUACACACCGCCCGCCGCACCUACCGAUUGAAUGGUCCGGUGAAAUCUCCGGACUGGCGUGAGUCGGAGCAAUCUGACAAACACCGGAAAGUUGAUUAAACCUUACCAUUUAGAGGAAGGUGAAGUCGUAACA
This 324-nucleotide ribosomal RNA is filed under the name uncultured eukaryote. Its description in RNAcentral is "partial 18S ribosomal RNA". It matches the Rfam family "Eukaryotic small subunit ribosomal RNA", at positions 1470 to 1796 of the family's 1831-position model. The record is from RNAcentral.